UUCCUACGGGGGGCAGCAGUGAGGAAUAUUGGUCAAUGGUCGGGAGACUGAACCAGCCAAGCCGCGUGAGGGAUGAAGGUACAGAGUAUCGUAAACCUCUUUUGUCAGGGAACAAAGGCGGGGACGUGUCCCCGGAUGAGUGUACCUGAAGAAAAAGCAUCGGCUAACUCCGUGCCAGCAGCCGCGGCAAUACGAAGGAUGCGAGCGUUAUCCGGAUUUACUGGGUGUAAAGGGUGCGUAGGUGGCAGGGUAAGUCAGAUGUGAAAGCCCGGGGCCCAACCCCGGGACUGCAUUUGAAACUGUCC
RNAcentral lists this ribosomal RNA (305 nucleotides) under uncultured bacterium. RNAcentral's name for it is "bacterial SSU rRNA". It matches the Rfam family "Bacterial small subunit ribosomal RNA", at positions 336 to 638 of the family's 1533-position model. The record is from RNAcentral.